UGUAUAUGUUUGUGUUUAGGAUACACAUGAAUUCUUAUUUCAUGUUUUGGGCCAAAUGCAGCAGAUUGGCCAAAUGCUGAGCUGGGAAGGAGGCCUGGCUUAUGAAUGCCCAGUCCAGGCAAACUUUGGGUUCCAGCUCACAUCCAUCAUCACAUGUGGCGGUUGUGGAACUCAGAAAAGCAGUGAGGUGGACUUCAAUCACCUUGCUCUGGCUCUGCCAGCUCAGGGCUCAGUGAAGGACUGCCUCAGACUCUUCUUCAGUUGAUGAGGCAGAAGUUGAGUGCAGGUGUGAGGUGUGUGAGGGUAACUCUGCCAGCUGCAGGUGGGCGUUUCACACUCUGCCCAG
Molecule: long non-coding RNA, 346 nt
Organism: Pygocentrus nattereri (red-bellied piranha)
Lineage: Eukaryota; Metazoa; Chordata; Actinopteri; Characiformes; Serrasalmidae
Exons: 3
Source: RefSeq, a predicted model, not a curated record